AACGAACGCUGGCGGCAUGCCUAACACAUGCAAGUCGAACGAGACCUUCGGGUCUAGUGGCGCACGGGUGCGUAACGCGUGGGAACCUGCCUUUAGGUUCGGAAUAACUCAGAGAAAUUUGAGCUAAUACCGGAUAAUGUCUUCGGACCAAAGAUUUAUCGCCUUUAGAUGGGCCCGCGUAAGAUUAGCUAGUUGGUGGGGUAAAGCCUACCAAGGCGACGAUCUUUAGCUGGUCUGAGAGGAUGAUCAGCCACACUGGGACUGAGACACGGCCCAGACUCCUACGGGAGGCAGCAGUGGGGAAUAUUGGACAAUGGGCGAAAGCCUGAUCCAGCAAUGCCGCGUGAGUGAUGAAGGCCUUAGGGUUGUAAAAGCUCUUUUACCCGAGAUGAUAAUGACAGUACCUGAAGAAUAAGCACCGGCUAACUACGUGCCAGCAGCCGCGGU
This 447-nucleotide ribosomal RNA is filed under the name uncultured bacterium. RNAcentral describes it as "bacterial SSU rRNA". It matches the Rfam family "Bacterial small subunit ribosomal RNA", at positions 29 to 521 of the family's 1533-position model. The record is from RNAcentral.